CAACAACAACAACAACAAAUAUGGCGGAAUCUGUAUUGUCAAACACGGAAGAAGAAGGAUACAACCAUAAUUAAACCAAGAAGUUUAUGAAGAAGGGAUCACUGGAUUUUGUCACUUUGGUACAAGAAACAGAAAAGGAUAUCAUAGACCACCUUACUUAUACGGAAGCAUAGGAGCUGUUGAAGGAAAUUGCUGCCAGACAGUCAGCAGUUAUCACUGACAGCCUGUCCUGGCCCAGCUUGGACCAUCCUCAAGCUUACCAUGAUGGUGUGUUUGCAAGAAUUGUCCAUUUGGUAGACCAUGAUGAAGACCAGCUUUGUUGUGGCAUGGCCUGACAAUACUGUACAAGCCAGAGACCAAAAAAGGGUUUAGUGGUGACUGAUCCUCUCACCCUCCUUAUCCAGGAAACAUUUCGGAACAACGUGUUGGCACUGAAGAUGUGGAGGACACAGAUUGAUCACAGUACAUCCUUUGGAUACAUGGACACCUUCAACGUGACGACAACAAAACUGUACCUGCCUUUUUUUGAAAGGAAGUAGUUAAUAAAAUUAUUGUUAACAGCUUUUUUAGUCUUGUUGUUUAAGAAUGCUUGCAACAUUUAAGUCGAUAAACGGUUGUUUUAAAUUUGAAUCUUCAGUAAUGCAUUCUUUAUUAAAUGAUGUAAUCUUAUUUCUUUCAAUAUAGUGUAAAUAAUAAGAACAUAAUUAUCCUUUGUAUACAAAAUGAAAACCAAGUUUACUGUUCUAUUAAUCAUUAUUUAUUUAUCUUGUUCUUUUGUCAGAAAUAUUACAGGGGCAUACAUACAGUAUUCCUUAAAUAAAAGGGGCAGUUCUUAGAAAAUUAACAUGUAUUUUAGCAAUGCAUAUUCAAACUUUUUCCACAUUUAUAACCAGCAACAAUAUGUAAGUAGUAUAAUGUAACACAAAUUAAUACUAUAAAUUUACUACUGAUUUUGCCGUGCCUGUCAUCAAACAUGUUUGACUGAAAGUUUCUUAAAAGAUGUUAUGUGGAAGACUAAAUCAAUCAUUUAAUAAAUAUUUGAGCCACGCUCUGGGAAAAGGGGGUUUAAUGCAUGUACUUAAGGUUGUCCAAGAUUAGGCUGUGCAGACUGCACAGGCUAAUCAGGGGCAACACUUUCCGCCUUAUCUGGAUUUUCUCUAAGAGACUCCAUUUCAACAAAAAAUACAAUAAAGCAGCAAUUGUCUGCCUGAUUGGUAUUAUCAGCACAUGUUAAUCUCGUACGACAAUUUACGCAGAUGAAUUAAGCCCCAUUUUCCCAGGGCAAGGCUCACCUAUUUAGGUUUUAGCUGUCUAUAUGCUCUUUAACUUUUGAAUCAUGAUGCAGUUUCAUAUAAUAAUGUAUUAUGAGUUGUUUUAAAUUGAUGCAUAUUCUUUUGUUCAGUGUUGAACUCAACAUGUAUUAUAAUAAGGUGUUCACUUAACAUUCUUGCAGUAAUGUUUUGCUGUGUAAUAUACAUGUAAUAAUAAAUCAAAAUUGAACAACUAGCUUCUUAUUUCUUCAUGUUAUUUAUUAAAACAUUUUAAACCAAAACAACAAAAUCCAUCACAUAAUGAACACAAAACAUAAUACUUUAUAUUCAUGAAACAAAACUAUAAUUGAUAACAUUUUGAAUAAAUGUUUCCAACUUUCAACAUUUGACAGAUCAAAUUAUUUCUGAAUUCCACCAAUUUUUUAUUUAUGGAUAAACAGCACUUUAUCAUCUUUAUGACAGUUUAUGUAAGGCUUUUACAAUAAAUGGUUGUUUAUAGACUGAUAAACAAUGGAAAACAAUACAUAAUCUAUAUAAAGCAUUGUGCUUUGAUGUCAUUGUUAAUGGAACAUAAACAAAUGUGGUGUGCAGCACACACUCAACAUUGACUAUGGUAGCUUAUACCUAAAAGAGUCAAUAAUUCCUGUUCAUAGUCUUUACUUGUGACAAAAAAUCAGGAAAACGCUGAGCCCAGUGUUUAUUUAGCUAUUUGCCAAACAAGGUUUUCACAAAUUCUUC
This is a long non-coding RNA of Dreissena polymorpha, 2009 nucleotides long. RefSeq lists it as uncharacterized. Lineage: Eukaryota; Metazoa; Mollusca; Bivalvia; Myida; Dreissenidae. The record is from RefSeq and is a predicted model, not a curated record. The transcript is spliced from 4 exons.